CGGGGCGUGGCGCAGUCUGGUAGCGCGCCUGCUUUGGGAGCAGGAAGUCGGGGGUUCGAAUCCCUCCGCCCCGACCA
Molecule: transfer RNA, 77 nt
Filed under: Bryobacterales bacterium
Lineage: Bacteria; Pseudomonadati; Acidobacteriota; Terriglobia; Bryobacterales
Also listed under: 1 other name
Description: tRNA-Pro
Rfam family: tRNA
About the family: Transfer RNA (tRNA) molecules are approximately 80 nucleotides in length.
Source: RNAcentral